This 379-nucleotide ribosomal RNA is filed under the name uncultured bacterium. RNAcentral describes it as "bacterial SSU rRNA". It matches the Rfam family "Bacterial small subunit ribosomal RNA", at positions 28 to 407 of the family's 1533-position model. The record is from RNAcentral.
GACGAACGCUGGCGGCGUGCUUAACACAUGCAAGUCGAGCGGUAAGGCCCUUUCGGGGGUACACGAGCGGCGAACGGGUGAGUAACACGUGGGUGACCUGCCCUCAGCUCUGGGAUAAGCCUGGGAAACCGGGUCUAAUACCGGAUAUGACUCCAUGACGCAUGUUGUGGGGUGGAAAGCCUUGUGCGGCUGAGGAUGGGCCCGCGGCCUAUCAGCUUGUUGGUGGGGUGAUGGCCUACCAAGGCGACGACGGGUAGCCGGCCUGAGAGGGCGACCGGCCACACUGGGACUGAGACACGGCCCAGACUCCUACGGGAGGCAGCAGGUGGGGAAUCUUGCGCAAUGGGCGAAAGCCUGACGCAGCGACGCCGCGUGAGGG